Molecule: long non-coding RNA, 1449 nt
Organism: Oncorhynchus nerka (sockeye salmon)
Lineage: Eukaryota; Metazoa; Chordata; Actinopteri; Salmoniformes; Salmonidae
Exons: 2
Source: RefSeq, a predicted model, not a curated record
AACAACAUCUCGUCAGCCACCUCGGUAGCUUCCUAGCGGAAACGUUCAAGCUGUUCAGACUGAUUCGGUCUAUAUUUACUUCUGUAUUUGGAACAUAAUUCUGUCUUUUAACUAGUUUCCCCAUUUCAUGUCAUAUUUCCGUUUAGUCAGGUAACGAUAGCUGGCUUGAUAAAUGAGCCUAUCACUAGGCUAGUCGCUAACUGGCUAGGUUAGCUGGCUAACAUCCCCGACCAUGAGCUCAGCAAGCUGCUGCCCUCCUGCUAAAAAAGUGGUCUGCUGGAAGGAGAAAGAAGGUAUUUGGCUGAACGUUGUCGUGAAAGAGGAGAAUGAAGAGGAGGAUGUCACAGUAAACGAAGAAGUAGAGGGUGAGGCUGUUACACAGAAAGAAGAGGAAGAAAACGAUUAUACUUUUUUUGGAGUGAAUGAAGGAGAGAUAACUGUCAUAUUGAAGGAGGAGGAGAGGGAAGAAGAGGAGGAGACAGAAGAUCUGAGUAACACCAGAAUUGAUAAAGCUACACUGUAAGAUGUGAAUACCAUCAAGAAGCUGGCCAACAACAAAACUUUAACAAUGGAUUUGCACCCAAAAUCACAACUUAAAUGUCUCACGGAAUGGACUUGCCUUCAUUCAAUACUGCAAUUCCACUGUACUAAACUGGAGGCGAUUUCCAGCCCACCGUUGACUGCGGUCAAGUGAGCCGACAGUCGCAAAACGCGGUCAGGCCAUCUGCUCUUCAGUUUCUUCCUGAAUUUGCGUGCGCGAAUACACUUUACAGAAUGGCGUUUUUUCAGUUAGGGAAACUGAGUUGAAUGGACUCUCAUUUACCCAGUUAGGGAGCCUGAGAACGCAUAAGAGAAUACACACUGGAGAGAAGCCUUACCACUGUUCCCAAUGUGGAAUGUCGUUUACCCAGUUAGGGAGCCUGCAAACGCAUGAGAGGGGACACACAGGGGAAAAGCUUUUCCAAUGUUCCCAUUGUGGAAAGAGUUUUGGCCAGCUAGGAAACCUGAACAAGCAUGAGAGGACACACACAGGUAAGAAGAUGUACCGUUACUCCCAGUGUGGAGAGAGAUUUACCCGGUUAAGGUUCCUGAAAGAGCAUGAAGGAAUACAUACAAAUACACAGGAGGAGAAGACAUACCACUGCUCUCACUGUGGAAAGACAUUUUCCCAGUCAGAGAACCUGAAAACACAUGAGAGAAUCGAGAGGCUGUGUUCUGACUUGUGUUUCUGACUGAGAAUGUGUGUGUUUGUUUGGGCUGUCAGACUUGAGUUCACUUUGUGUAAUGUUAGUGCACUAUUUUUAAUUGUGAUUAAUCCAUUGUCUGAAAGGGUUGAAAACACACUGAAAACAUCCAGAAUACAUCCUAUAUACAGCUACAAUCUACAAUGCCAUGUAAACACAAGAUGACAUUGAGGUUAAAUAAAGUGUGAUUUAUCAAUGGAACAUA